CGGCGAUGACUAAGACUAAACCUCUGCUCUAAAUCUUCAAGUUUCUUUGGAAGCAUAAGGAGUUUGAUCUCUUCUUCUGUUACGAAUCGUCGAUUUUAUAAUUUAAGAUAAUUUCACCCGCCUCCAUCGUUACCGGAAUCUCUCUUUUUCUCCGCCGACCUCCUUCGAAUCGAGUUUUCUUUUACCUUUCUACUCGCGCUGAAGGUUCCAUCGCCACCACGUAAGUUCACUUGUCUAACUCUAAACCAUAUCUCUAAGCUUUGGGGCUUUUCCAUUGGCAAUUCUAGGGUUCUUCGCUAAGUCUAUAUAUAUACUUUGUUAAUCUAGGGUUUUCAGUAGCUUGUGUUAGUCGGGCGACGAAUUCUUCAUGAUUCCGAUUACUCCGGUCGUAUUACAGGGUUCCGUUUGUAUCCAGUUUUACUAAGGAGGGGGUAUUGGAUGAGAGAAUUUGAUAGAAUAGAAUAGAAUAUAAUGGAAUU
This 479-nucleotide long non-coding RNA is filed under the name Capsella grandiflora. RNAcentral's name for it is "long non-coding RNA (CGRA_LNC000460)". Lineage: Eukaryota; Viridiplantae; Streptophyta; Magnoliopsida; Brassicales; Brassicaceae. The record is from RNAcentral.